UCGACCUUAGCUCAGUCGGAAGAGCGGAGGACUGAUCCUCUCGGUCGCUGGUUCGAUUCCGGCAGGUCGAA
Molecule: transfer RNA, 71 nt
Organism: Macleaya cordata
Lineage: Eukaryota; Viridiplantae; Streptophyta; Magnoliopsida; Ranunculales; Papaveraceae
Rfam family: tRNA
About the family: Transfer RNA (tRNA) molecules are approximately 80 nucleotides in length. Their secondary structure includes four short double-helical elements and three loops (D, anti-codon, and T loops).
Source: Rfam